Long non-coding RNA from Lycium barbarum (goji berry), 1507 nucleotides. RefSeq lists it as uncharacterized. The transcript has 2 exons. NCBI's taxonomy places the organism in Eukaryota, Viridiplantae, Streptophyta, Magnoliopsida, Solanales, Solanaceae. The record is from RefSeq and is a predicted model, not a curated record.
UUAUGCCAAACUUUAUGUGUAACUACUACUGCUUAUCUCUGUUCACAUUAAAAUUAUGAAAGUUUCUAUUCCAAAAUUUAUAUUUCAGUUGGUUUCUGAACUUUUGUCUAUUGCUUGGAUAUCCGUUGUUCGUUGAUACUGUGCCAAACUUUAUUUAAGUUAGUAUGUGUUUUUUUGUUGGAAUUCACUUAUCAAGUUAGAUUUACAAUACACCAAUGGACUACAUAUAACGUUAUCUACAUCUAUUCCAAGUCUCGAACCUCGAAAAUACUAUCUCAUCAUACUAAUCCAUCUAUCUCUUGAAUAUUUUCUAAAUAAAUUUAUCCAUUGAAUUCCAAAUAUUAAAUAAUUAAACUAAAAAUCAUGUCUACUUCUUUUCUAUUUUUUCUUUUAAUUUAUGGAUGUACCUUCUUUCAUUCGUUGAUAAUUAUUUUAUUAAGAGUAAAAUGGAAAAUUUAAAGUUAAAUAUUUUUGUAACUCAUAAAAUAAAUGUAUAUAAUUAUAAAUAAUAUUUAUUUAAUAUUUUUAUUAUGAUUGAGAUAGUUUGGGAAUAACGUGCAACUACACGUUAAUAGAGACUAGUUAUUAUAAAAGCAUGAAUAUAAAUGUUGAUUGACCAAAAUAUCAUUUAAAUAUUGAACGACUUUUGUAUCUUUAUAAGUUGAAAUCUUCUCUAAAAAGUUCAUUUCAUAUUGGAUAAAAUUGUAAUAUUAAUUAUUUCCUAAUAUCUCUCAACUGUUAUUGUUGAAGUUACCAUUGUUGAACCCUUCAAGCUUUUGAAAAAUUCUUGGAAUUGGGUGUGCUUUCUACGUUCAUUGGCUUGGGCAUUACUAAUUAGAGCUAUUUUUUGGUUAUUCUUUUAUCAGAUAAGCGAUAAAUCUUUUUGUGCACGGACUUUGUGAGGAUCGGUUCUGCGGAUUUACCUUUCUGCUUAUCUCACACAGAAGCAUACUAAAAGUCCACCCUGAAAAGUCAACUCUUUAAGAGAUCCUGGAGGGACGAGAUGCAAAGAAGCUUCAUUACUGAGCUUGCAUUCAGGGAGAUGUGGUUGCUGGCUGACUUGUUUUUAGUAGGUUGGAGUAUUCGGCAUCAAGAAGUUAUACUGAUGUGAGCAAGGCUGACCAAAACUCUCCUCAAAAAUUACAAAUACCAAAUGGUCCAACAACACGAGCUCAAGCUAGAAAGUUUCAAGAAGAGAUACAAGGCUUGGAAAUAAGCUCGUGGGACAAGGAAUAGAAGCCCACAAAGCAGAUCUGCAGAAGGACCUGAAGAUAGUCCACAUGACAUUGAUAUUCCCAAGAUUGAGAGGCUAUUUUUGGGCCUUUCGGGCAUACUGAAAAGACCAGCUACUUAUUAAUUAUUUUCAGCUUAUUUAGUUAAUGGGCAAAAGCCCAUCUGAACCUUGUAUUUUCCUAGCUUUAUAUAGCUCAUUUUAGAGGUUGUAAAUGCUAGUUUAUAUUAAUCUUUGAAGACUCUUUGUGAGAGGUUUUGGGAUAGAUCCCUAUAU